Molecule: non-coding RNA, 331 nt
Organism: Nelumbo nucifera (sacred lotus)
Lineage: Eukaryota; Viridiplantae; Streptophyta; Magnoliopsida; Proteales; Nelumbonaceae
Source: RefSeq, a predicted model, not a curated record
UCUAACCCUCUUCUUCUAUAUUCCCUUGUAAACUAUUUCUCGUCCACCUGUUCCUGGUUAGAUAUUCUUAACAGGUGAUGGGCGUGAGUGCAAAGGAGACUCGGAGGUGAUGCGGAUGCGGAAGCUGUACAGACACGGAUAAUGCUCGACUUGCAGGCAAGCUCUGCAAGCUCUCACGGCUUUACUAUGAGGAAGCCGUCCAAUCUUCCGUUUUUGGACUCCUCGAGGCGUUGCUACUUUUGGGGAGGGCAUUCCGACUAUAUCGCGCCAUACUAUUGUUUCUGCUUUCCGUUAAUAAUGUAAGUAUAUCUGACACAUCCCUUGUUUAAAG